GGAAGUUGAUGGGGUCUGGAGGCUCCCGCGGUCUUCAAAACCGUUGGCUGCAACUAUUGCAGUGGUAGGUUCGAUUCCUGCCUCUUCCG
Molecule: transfer RNA, 89 nt
Filed under: Spirochaetales bacterium
Lineage: Bacteria; Pseudomonadati; Spirochaetota; Spirochaetia; Spirochaetales
Also listed under: 1 other name
Description: tRNA-Sec
Rfam family: Selenocysteine transfer RNA
Source: RNAcentral